This 460-nucleotide ribosomal RNA is filed under the name uncultured bacterium. Its description in RNAcentral is "partial 16S ribosomal RNA". It matches the Rfam family "Bacterial small subunit ribosomal RNA", at positions 338 to 795 of the family's 1533-position model. The record is from RNAcentral.
CCUACGGGUGGCAGCAGUGAGGAAUAUUGGUCAAUGGGCUUACGCCUGAACCAGCCAAGUCGCGUGAGGGACGACUGCCCUAUGGGUUGUAAACCUCUUUUGUCAGGGAGCAACACCAGCUACGUGUAGCCGGACUGAGAGUACCUGAAGAAAAAGCAUUGGCUAACUCCGUGCAAGCAGCCGCGGUAAUACGGAGGAUGCGAGCGUUAUCCGGAUUUAUUGGGUUUAAAGGGUGCGUAGGCGGAAUGCCAAGUCAGCGGUAAAAUCGCGGGGCUCAACCUCGCUCAGCCGUUGAAACUGGCGGUCUUGAGUGGGCGAGAGGUAUGCGGAAUGCGUGGUGUAGCGGUGAAAUGCAUAGAUAUCGCGCAGAACUCCGAUUGCGAAGGCAGCAGACCGGCGCCCAACUGACGCUGAAGCACGAAAGCGUGGGUAUCGAACAGGAUUAGAUACCCCUGUAGUC